RNAcentral lists this ribosomal RNA (1432 nucleotides) under Staphylococcus aureus. RNAcentral describes it as "partial 23S ribosomal RNA". It matches the Rfam family "Bacterial large subunit ribosomal RNA", at positions 1473 to 2904 of the family's 2925-position model. The record is from RNAcentral. Lineage: Bacteria; Bacillati; Bacillota; Bacilli; Caryophanales; Staphylococcaceae.
CGCAGUAGGAUAGGCGAAGCGUGCGAUUGGAUUGCACGUCUAAGCAGUAAGGCUGAGUAUUAGGCAAAUCCGGUACUCAUUAAGGCUGAGCUGUGAUGGGGAGAAGACAUUGUGUCUUCGAGUCGUUGAUUUCACACUGCCGAGAAAAGCCUCUAGAUAGAAAAUAGGUGCCCGUACCGCAAACCGACACAGGUAGUCAAGAUGAGAAUUCUAAGGUGAGCGAGCGAACUCUCGUUAAGGAACUCGGCAAAAUGACCCCGUAACUUCGGGAGAAGGGGUGCUCUUUAGGGUUAACGCCCAGAAGAGCCGCAGUGAAUAGGCCCAAGCGACUGUUUAUCAAAAACACAGGUCUCUGCUAAACCGUAAGGUGAUGUAUAGGGGCUGACGCCUGCCCGGUGCUGGAAGGUUAAGAGGAGUGGUUAGCUUCUGCGAAGCUACGAAUCGAAGCCCCAGUAAACGGCGGCCGUAACUAUAACGGUCCUAAGGUAGCGAAAUUCCUUGUCGGGUAAGUUCCGACCCGCACGAAAGGCGUAACGAUUUGGGCACUGUCUCAACGAGAGACUCGGUGAAAUCAUAGUACCUGUGAAGAUGCAGGUUACCCGCGACAGGACGGAAAGACCCCGUGGAGCUUUACUGUAGCCUGAUAUUGAAAUUCGGCACAGCUUGUACAGGAUAGGUAGGAGCCUUUGAAACGUGAGCGCUAGCUUACGUGGAGGCGCUGGUGGGAUACUACCCUAGCUGUGUUGGCUUUCUAACCCGCACCACUUAUCGUGGUGGGAGACAGUGUCAGGCGGGCAGUUUGACUGGGGCGGUCGCCUCCUAAAAGGUAACGGAGGCGCUCAAAGGUUCCCUCAGAAUGGUUGGAAAUCAUUCAUAGAGUGUAAAGGCAUAAGGGAGCUUGACUGCGAGACCUACAAGUCGAGCAGGGUCGAAAGACGGACUUAGUGAUCCGGUGGUUCCGCAUGGAAGGGCCAUCGCUCAACGGAUAAAAGCUACCCCGGGGAUAACAGGCUUAUCUCCCCCAAGAGUUCACAUCGACGGGGAGGUUUGGCACCUCGAUGUCGGCUCAUCGCAUCCUGGGGCUGUAGUCGGUCCCAAGGGUUGGGCUGUUCGCCCAUUAAAGCGGUACGCGAGCUGGGUUCAGAACGUCGUGAGACAGUUCGGUCCCUAUCCGUCGUGGGCGUAGGAAAUUUGAGAGGAGCUGUCCUUAGUACGAGAGGACCGGGAUGGACAUACCUCUGGUGUACCAGUUGUCGUGCCAACGGCAUAGCUGGGUAGCUAUGUGUGGACGGGAUAAGUGCUGAAAGCAUCUAAGCAUGAAGCCCCCCUCAAGAUGAGAUUUCCCAACUUCGGUUAUAAGAUCCCUCAAAGAUGAUGAGGUUAAUAGGUUCGAGGUGGAAGCAUGGUGACAUGUGGAGCUGACGAAUACUAA